GCCGGGGUGGCCGAGUGGUUAAGGCGGCAGACUCGAGAUCUGCUGGUCCUUGUGGCCGCGCGGGUUCGAAUCCCGUCCCCGGCG
RNAcentral lists this transfer RNA (84 nucleotides) under Candidatus Marsarchaeota G2 archaeon BE_D. RNAcentral describes it as "tRNA-Ser". It matches the Rfam family "tRNA". Rfam says of the family: Transfer RNA (tRNA) molecules are approximately 80 nucleotides in length. Their secondary structure includes four short double-helical elements and three loops (D, anti-codon, and T loops). Lineage: Archaea; Thermoproteati; Thermoproteota. RNAcentral also lists the same sequence under 3 other names. The record is from RNAcentral.